GGGCCGGUGGUGGAAUUGGUAGACACGCUAGAUUUAGGUUCUAGUGCCGCGAGGUGUGAAGGUUCAAGUCCUUUCCGGCCUACCA
RNAcentral lists this transfer RNA (85 nucleotides) under bacterium. RNAcentral's name for it is "tRNA-Leu". It matches the Rfam family "tRNA". From Rfam's summary of the family: Transfer RNA (tRNA) molecules are approximately 80 nucleotides in length. Their secondary structure includes four short double-helical elements and three loops (D, anti-codon, and T loops). RNAcentral also lists the same sequence under 5 other names. The record is from RNAcentral.